This 590-nucleotide small RNA is filed under the name Pan troglodytes (chimpanzee). Its description in RNAcentral is "processed transcript". Lineage: Eukaryota; Metazoa; Chordata; Mammalia; Primates; Hominidae. The record is from RNAcentral.
AUAUUGAAAGAAGCAGUGUUUGAAAACCCUUUUGUCCAGCAGUGUGCAUAUAGCAAGUCCCAGGAGUACAUCGAUGCCCACCCUGAGACCAUCGUCCUGGACCCGCUCCCUGCCAUCAGAACCCUGCUCGACCGCUCCAAGUCCUACGAGCUCAUCCGGAAGAUUGAGGCCUACAUGGAAGACGACAGGAUCUGCUCGCCACCCUUCAUGGAGCUCACGAGCCUGUGCGGGGAUGACACCAUGCGGCUGCUGGAGAAGAACGGCUUGGCUUUCCCAUUCAUUUGCAAAACCAGAGUGGCUCAUGGCACCAACUCUCACGAGAUGGCUAUCGUGUUCAACCAGGAGGGCCUGAACGCCAUCCAGCCACCCUGCGUGGUCCAGAAUUUCAUCAACCACAACGCCGUCCUGUACAAGGUGUUCGUGGUUGGCGAGUCCUACACCGUGGUCCAGAGGCCCUCACUCAAGAACUUCUCCGCAGGCACAUCAGACCGUGAGUCCAUCUUCUUCAACAGCCACAACGUGUCAAAGCCGGAGUCGUCAUCGGUCCUGACGGAGCUGGACAAGAUCGAGGGCGUGUUCGAGCGGCCGAG